RNAcentral lists this ribosomal RNA (433 nucleotides) under uncultured bacterium. RNAcentral describes it as "partial 16S ribosomal RNA". It matches the Rfam family "Bacterial small subunit ribosomal RNA", at positions 28 to 507 of the family's 1533-position model. The record is from RNAcentral.
AGCGAACGCUGGCGGCAGGCUUAACACAUGCAAGUCGAGCGGGCCUUUCGGGGUCAGCGGCGGACGGGUGAGUAACGCGUGGGAACGUGCCCUCUGGUUCGGAAUAACUCAGGGGAACUUGAGCUAAUACCGGAUACGCCCUUGUGGGGAAAGGCUUGCUGCCGGAGGGUCGGCCCGCGUCUGAUUAGCUAGUUGGUGAGGUAACGGCUCACCAAGGCGACGGUCAGUAGCUGGUCUGAGAGGAUGAUCAGCCACACGGGGACUGAGACACGGCGCAGACUCCUACGGGAGGCAGCAGUGGGGAAUAUUGGACAAUGGGCGCAAGCCUGAUCCAGCCAUGCCGCGUGAGUGAUGAAGGCCUUAGGGUUGUAAAGCUCUUUUAUCCGGGACGAUAAUGACGGUACCGGAGGAAUAAGCCCCGGCUAACUUCGUG